RNAcentral lists this ribosomal RNA (312 nucleotides) under Triticum aestivum (bread wheat). RNAcentral's name for it is "partial small subunit ribosomal RNA". Lineage: Eukaryota; Viridiplantae; Streptophyta; Magnoliopsida; Poales; Poaceae. The record is from RNAcentral.
AUGGUGACAAAAAAGUUCUUUUAUAACCAUGGAAUCAUGACAUGGAAUGUAUUAUUAAUGUGUAUACCUUCAAUGUGGAUUAUCGAAGACUACUUUCGUUUCAUAUUCAUGCAAAAAACUUCUUCGGGAAUGUUGAAAUUUUUGCUUGUACUGUCUUUUCCUGGAGUCAUUGAAAUAUCCCCUUGCACAGAAAUUUGUUUUCUACUGAAUUUUUGUCAAGAUACUCUGGUACUAACAUUUAACUAUUUUGUAGGAAUGAAGAGCUCAAGGGAGCAAAAGGAACAAGGAGAAAGGAGCGCUCAAGAGAAGUGA